Long non-coding RNA from Protopterus annectens (West African lungfish), 640 nucleotides. RefSeq lists it as uncharacterized. The transcript is spliced from 2 exons. Lineage: Eukaryota; Metazoa; Chordata; Ceratodontiformes; Protopteridae. The record is from RefSeq and is a predicted model, not a curated record.
UCUGUUUUUCAGAUCAGCCAGAUGAAGAUCUAUUGAAUCCAGAUUCCUCGAGUGAAAGAGAAAAACUGAUAACCACGUAAGUGGGAGGUGAGAGACCCUUUUGAGUCGCAACAUGAGCUCUAUAGUGCAAGACAAAAACAGAAAAAUGUAAAUAGAAUAAAGAAUUAUACCACUUUCCGAAGGAAUGUCAAACAGUUGGUCUACAUGGAGAAGAUGAAUUCAAGCAAGAUGAUAUUUGAACAAAUGUAAGAACUGGAAAUAGGUCAAACUCUUAACUACAUCUUUACAUGCAAUAAUGGCAUUAUUGCUCAAGAACGAAAUAUUUCUAUGUAUGUACAUAUGUGAAAUGUAUAAAUAUAAAUAAGAUGUUUAACAGAGUGGCUAUAUUAAGUAUAGAAGGCUCUCUCCAUGUUUACUAAUUUUGUUAGUUUUAUGUGCAGUGGUGUUCCUAUAAUUUAACAGUGUGUAUUACAGCUAUCCUUCAUUAUCAUAAUUAAUCAGCAAAUUGUCAUUUUUCAUCGAUCUAUGCCUAGACAUGAUAGUUAUGAAGUAGUGCAAUAAAAAAACUAUUACUUCACAUGGCACCUGUCUGUCUGCUUACUUAAUUUAUUGUGUAAAAUUAAAUGAAACUAAAAUUUCA